This 436-nucleotide long non-coding RNA is filed under the name Gossypium raimondii (Peruvian cotton). Its description in RNAcentral is "long non-coding RNA (GRAI_LNC006533)". The record is from RNAcentral. Lineage: Eukaryota; Viridiplantae; Streptophyta; Magnoliopsida; Malvales; Malvaceae.
GAUGUUAAGGAAAUUUCAGUUGUUAAGGGAUUUGGGGAUUGAAGGGAGUGUUUUGUGGAGAUUUGGAUUGAGGAGUUUGGAUAGAACCGAAACUAGUAGUGGCAAUUUCGGCUACCCUCUCUCAUUCCUCAAUUUUCUGACAGUUUUGUUGUUUCUGCUUUUGGUUUUUCUCUUUGUUUUCAUCUUUUAUUCUUUUUCUUUUUCUUCCCAUAACUGUUUUUUUCCCAAUCUCGGUUGCUCCUAAUCUUUUGACGUUUUGAAUUUAUUCUCUUUGCAGUGGAAUUAUUGCCAAAAUUUCUAUCGAAAGUUCUUUCCCCACUCACCUAUUUUCUUUUCCUAUUUGCUUCUUUGUGUUCAUUCAUUCUGUGAGUAAGUGUACGUUUUCGUGGUACGGUAAGUUAUGUUUGUACUUCUUGAUUAACUUUUUUUGGUUAAG